CCUACGGGGGGCUGCAGUGGGGAAUAUUGGACAAUGGGCGAAAGCCUGAUCCAGCCAUGCCGCGUGUGUGAAGAAGGCCUUCGGGUUGUAAAGCACUUUCAGUGGGGAAGAAAGCCUUGGGGCUAAUACCCUCGAGGAAGGACAUCACCCACAGAAGAAGCACCGGCUAACAUCCGUGCCAGCAGCCGCGGUAAUACGGAGGGUGCGAGCGUUAAUCGGAAUUACUGGGCGUAAAGCGCGCGUAGGCGGUCUGAUAAGCCGGUUGUGAAAGCCCCGGGCUCAACCUGGGAACGGCAUCCGGAACUGUCAGGCUAGAGUGCAGGAGAGGAAGGUAGAAUUCCCGGUGUAGCGGUGAAAUGCGUAGAGAUCGGGAGGAAUACCAGUGGCGAAGGCGGCCUUCUGGACUGACACUGACGCUGAGGUGCGAAAGCGUGGGUAGCAAACAGGAUUAGAUACCUAGUAGUC
This 465-nucleotide ribosomal RNA is filed under the name Vreelandella stevensii. Its description in RNAcentral is "partial 16S ribosomal RNA". It matches the Rfam family "Bacterial small subunit ribosomal RNA", at positions 338 to 795 of the family's 1533-position model. Lineage: Bacteria; Pseudomonadati; Pseudomonadota; Gammaproteobacteria; Oceanospirillales; Halomonadaceae. The record is from RNAcentral.